AGAACGAACGCUGGCGGCAUGCCUAAUACAUGCAAGUCGAACGAACUCUUCGGAGUUAGUGGCGCACGGGUGCGUAACGCGUGGGAAUCUGCCCCUUGGUUCGGAAUAACAGUUGGAAACGACUGCUAUACCGGAUGAUGACGAAAGUCCAAAGAUUUAUCGCCAAGGGAUGAGCCCGCGUAGGAUUAGCUAGUUGGUGAGGUAAAGGCUCACCAAGGCAACGAUCCUUAGCUGGUCUGAGAGGAUGAUCAGCCACACUGGGACUGAGACACGGCCCAGACUCCUACGGGAGGCAGCAGUGGGGAAUAUGGACAAUGGGCGAAAGCCUGAUCCAGCAACGCCGCGUGAGGGGUGACGGGCCUUCGGGUUGUAAAGCUCUUUUACCCGAGAUGAUAAUGACAGUAUCGGAGAAUAAGCCCGGCUAACUCCGCGCCAGCAGCCGC
This 443-nucleotide ribosomal RNA is filed under the name uncultured soil bacterium. RNAcentral's name for it is "bacterial SSU rRNA". It matches the Rfam family "Bacterial small subunit ribosomal RNA", at positions 26 to 518 of the family's 1533-position model. The record is from RNAcentral.